UGUUUGAUCAUGCUCAGAUUGAACGCUGGCGGCAGGCCUAAUACAUGCAAGUCGAGCGGAAACGAUGGAGCUUGCUCCAGGCGUCGAGCGGCGGACGGGUGAGUAACGCGUAGGAAUCUACCCAGUAGAGGGGGAUAGCCCGAGGAAACUCGGAUUAAUACCGCAUACGCCCUACGGGGGAAAGCAGGGGAUCUUCGGACCUUGCGCUAUUGGAUGAGCCUGCGUUGGAUUAGCUUGUUGGUGGGGUAAAGGCCUACCAAGGCGACGAUCCAUAGCUGGUCUGAGAGGAUGAUCAGCCACACUGGGACUGAGACACGGCCCAGACUCCUACGGGAGGCAGCAGUAGGGAAUAUUGGACAAUGGGGGCAACCCUGAUCCAGCCAUGCCGCGUGUGUGAAGAAGGCCUUAGGGUUGUAAAGCACUUUCAGUUGUGAGGAAAGGUGUGUAGUUAAUAGCUGCAUACUGUGACGUUAACAACAGAAGAAGCACCGGCUAACUUCGUGCCAGCAGCCGCGGUAACACGAGGGGUGCAAGCGUUAAUCGGAAUUACUGGGCGUAAAGCGUUCGUAGGCGGUUGAAUAAGCAAGAUGUGAAAGCCCAGGGCUCAACCUUGGAACUGCAUUUUGAACUGUUCGACUAGAGUACUGUAGAGGGGGGUAGAAUUUCA
This 667-nucleotide ribosomal RNA is filed under the name uncultured Vibrionaceae bacterium. Its description in RNAcentral is "bacterial SSU rRNA". It matches the Rfam family "Bacterial small subunit ribosomal RNA", at positions 10 to 671 of the family's 1533-position model. The record is from RNAcentral. Lineage: Bacteria; Pseudomonadati; Pseudomonadota; Gammaproteobacteria; Vibrionales; Vibrionaceae.